RNAcentral lists this ribosomal RNA (114 nucleotides) under Nannospalax galili (Upper Galilee mountains blind mole rat). Lineage: Eukaryota; Metazoa; Chordata; Mammalia; Rodentia; Spalacidae. The record is from RNAcentral.
GUUCACUGCCAAACCACCUUGGGCGUACCCAAUGUCAUCCAAUCACGGAAGCGAUGCAGGGUCAGGCCUUGUUAGCACUUGGAUGGAAGAUGAGGAAGUCACAAAUAGUGGAAU